This is a long non-coding RNA of Solanum stenotomum, 294 nucleotides long. RefSeq lists it as uncharacterized. The transcript is spliced from 3 exons. The record is from RefSeq and is a predicted model, not a curated record. Lineage: Eukaryota; Viridiplantae; Streptophyta; Magnoliopsida; Solanales; Solanaceae.
GGUGAUCCAAAAGACAAAGUUGUGAGAUUUUUUGAGGACAACGCGUUGGUGAUCUCGGAUAGUGAUUUGGAGUCCCCGUUUGAGCGGGGCAGCGUUUCGAGACUGUUCGGAAAGGGAAAGCUCCGGUAAAGUGAUUUAGAGAGCGCGCGAUCGGCCUUAAGGUCCCAGUACCAGUUACCAGCGGUGAUUAGUUCCAGCAUUCUUUUACAGUUGUGAUUCGGAGACGAGGGCGAGCACUUGGCGUUUUGGGGUUUGUUCUAUCUCCUUCUUUUGUUUUAGCUAGUCUUGUUGCCU